GUUGAACCUCCGGAAGUUAACUUUGACUGUUGCUGUCCAGGUUUCUUAAUAGCAGAAGAUUGCUGCACAAAACCUGGAGAUGCAGACAAAAAAGUUCCCUGUGCAGUCCGCUUAUUUGGCAUUGAUGACACCUGAGGUGUAGAACCAUGCGGCAUUGAUGACAUCUCAGCCUUCCGCUUGGUGAGUACUGAUGAUUUCUGCACACCUGGACUAUUUGGCACAUAUCUAUCUCCUCUGGUCUGCUGAUGUGACAACAUGAAGUGCUGAGGGUUCAUUCUGGGUCCCAUUGG
RNAcentral lists this long non-coding RNA (290 nucleotides) under Solanum tuberosum (potato). Its description in RNAcentral is "long non-coding RNA (STUB_LNC008348)". The record is from RNAcentral. Lineage: Eukaryota; Viridiplantae; Streptophyta; Magnoliopsida; Solanales; Solanaceae.